RNAcentral lists this long non-coding RNA (8941 nucleotides) under Nicotiana benthamiana. RNAcentral's name for it is "long non-coding RNA (NBEN_LNC035113)". Lineage: Eukaryota; Viridiplantae; Streptophyta; Magnoliopsida; Solanales; Solanaceae. The record is from RNAcentral.
GAGCUCCUUACUACACCGAAAUAGAAAAAAAAAAAGCUAAGCUAGCUAAGCCUAUCAACUACGAGUUACAAGAUUUCUAUCUAUAAAUCUCUUGAAGCUUGAUCUUGAGUCUUUUCUAGUUCUUGAUAUGGACUCCGAUCUGAAUCUUGAUUCUCGUUAGGUGCAACCUCUAGUUCAAUCUUCAUCUUUUGGAUCAAGGCAGGACACGUGAAGCUUAUGACUUCGAUUAUAUCUUGAGCAAUCUGUGUCUUCCUCCCCUUCAAUAUUUGAGUUCAUUUCUUUUUGCUCUUUUUCUUCUUUUCUUUAUUUUGGAUUGAGACCCAUUCUUUUGGUCGUCUCGAACCCUGUGCCGCGAGGUAAAACCUGCUCAGAUACCAAAACAAAUAAGCGAACAAAAUUUUUCUGCCCCAGUUUUUACUAGGAAAAUUGCAUGAGUUAAUUGCUACACUAAGCUAUUUCUUUGUUGAAAACAAUAAAAGUCAGGAUUAUGUAUCCUUGGGAAUAUGGAGUGAAGCCCUAAAUUGGGAGGAUUGCUAGGUUAUGCUGGAAAGUUGACCGGGUUAUGCCGGAAGAAAACAAAAAAGGUCCUUGGGUUAUGCCAGGGAGAUCCACGGGUUAUGCCGAGAGAAAAGAAAAAAGUCCUUGGGCUAUGCUAGGAAGGUCCACGAGUUAUGCCGGGAUAAAAGAAAAAAAGGUCAUUGGGUUAUGCCAAGGAGGUCUAUGGGUUAUACCGGGACAAAAGAAAAAGGUCCUUGGGUUAUGCCAGAGAGAUCGACGAGUUAUGUAGGGAUAAAGGAAAAAAGGUCCUUGGAUUAUACUAGAGAAGCCCACUGAUUAUGCCGGGAUAAUAGAAAAAAGGUCCUUGGGUUAUGCUAGGGAGAUCCACGGGUUAUGCCGGGAUAAAAGAAAAAGGUCCUUGGGUAAUGGCAGGAAGGUCCUUGGGACUCAACCUUUUAACUUCAUUUUUUCCUUUGUGGGCAUUUGACUUUGAUUUCCUUUUUUUUCAGGAGUUUUUAAAUUCAAAACAUCAGCCGCCAUGGCCAGUUAAGGUAAACUUAUGCUCCUGACAAGCCUGGGUGCACAUUAGCUCGCGUCAAAUGAGAACCCUGUAGAUUAAUCUUGCCAUCCCUUCUUUGUCUCAAUUCCAGAAUAGAGUUAGACCGAAAGGGAUUCAAAGAAAAUAAAUAAUGGAAUGGAGAAUGAGUUAAAAACAAGAAGUGUCCCUUUCGGGGAAAGGAAAGAAGGACUUAUCUGGAGUACAUGUGGACUUCAAUGAGCAUGACAUGCCUUUUGGACUGGAUGCCUGAUCUGUUUUAACCGUCUGACUCUCAAAAAUUCAUCACAACUUCUACUUCAAAAUUUGAGAAACCUUGCCACGACAUUGUCGAUGCCGAUGGCUGUGAGGAUCUUCUUUUCAAUCAAUGGGGCCCUUUGCAGGUUUUCACAAGCUGACAUCUCUCAUUUCUCUUCUCACCGUCGCCUUAUAGUUCACCUGUAGAUUUUCACUAACAAGACUCUCGUUUUAUUUUUCUCAUUUUGAUUGCAUCGGAUCCAAGUAACUACAGUCUCCGAUCCUUGAACAUUCUCACCGAUUGAUUAGAAGGACCUGAACAGGAUUGGGGGUGAAAAGAGUUUGGAUUGAGUUACAACUUUGGAACCUUUUGGGGGGGACCAUCCCCGAACCAUUAUAACAUUUGCCCCAGUUUCACUUUUUGGGGGCCUUUGAAUUUUUAUUUUGGUAUGGCUGAACCCUAGAGAGAGGCUGCCUACGUAUCCUUUCGGAAUCAAGUCGAACGUAGUUUAGGAAACUUUAUUUUUGGAAUUUCUUCUGCUUUUACUGCUUUGUUUUGUUUUCUCUUUCUUUUUCCUUUGCUUUUCCUUUUUUCAUUUCAUUUUCUUUGUCUUUUCUACCCCUUUUUGUUUCUUUCUUUUUUUUCUUCUUUUUUUUCAUUUCAUUUUUUUCCAAUUUAUAAUUCAAUUUUUUUAAUAACACUUUCAGGUUUUAAAGAGGGUAAUUAAAGAAGAGUAACCCACUCAAAUGGGUUUGCAAAAGGUUAAGUGUUUGGAUACUGAGAAAGAAAGUCUUCUUCAUCCCAACCUGAGAACAUUAAUGUUAUAUAGAGAAUCAACCAGAGUACAUAUGGUUGAAUUUGCAUUGACAGUUGUUUCAGGGACAUUUCCUUUGAUGUGUCCCAAGUAUAACGCACUCUUUUGGCAGUACUCUUGUUGCAAUGUAUGGACCUUUCUAAUCUGGAAACCAAUUUUUCUUCAGUUGUUCCAACUCUUUAUUUUAUUUCAUUAAACUUAUCUUCAUUGUGAUCUACUUCUUGAUUCAUUAUUUCGAAGUCUGAAAGCGUUUCAGGAUGUGAGCAUGAAGUCUGCAAGUAUGUCAUAUUAUUGAAAUCUGCAUUUAACAGAAUAAAAAAGAGAAUAAGAAAAGCGACAAGAUUAAGGAAAGAGAAUUCCUGGACAAUGAAAUAUUAGUUUCACUUUAUUUUUUGAUUUUUUUUUUCAAAUUUCAAUUUUUUUUUAAGAUAGAAGGGUUUACAUCGGAAAGUAAGACAAUAAAGUAAAACAUCCAGAUCACACCCUGAGAUAAUACGAAGGUAAAGCGGAUAGCAAGAGUGGCUACCGAGACUCCCGUCUGAUGGGGAACUUUGAGGCUUGGCCGACCGUUUUUUGGCUUUCCUUCUAUCUCGGCAAUGGCUGCAAUGGCCUCCAGUGCCAGAUCAAAUUCCUCACCUUCACAAAUUAUUCCGACUAUUGGUUCGAUGUUGUGCGUAGGCAACAGAUUGUUCAUCACAUCCAAAGCUUCUUCAUCUCGAAGAACAAUUCUUUCAGCUUCAAUCAAAUCUUCAACUGCCCUUUUGAGGGUCCAACAGUCCUCAGUACUGUGUCCCACUACUCUAGAGUGGUAUUCAGAUAUAGCAUCAGCUCGAUGCGAGGGGGACUCGAGGUUCGGCCAGUUUGGGGCCACUGGCUAUAAUAGAUCUGGCGUGAUAAGCUUUUAGAACAAGCUUGAAUAUGAUUCACCAAUAGCGGUGAAUUGACUCUUUCUGAAAAGCUCUCUUGGGUGAGGAUUGUAUUACGGAUCAUUCGGUUGAUGAUUAUAUGGAUCUUGGUAAGGAUGAGCAUUUCUGGGAAGUGGAACUCGAUUUUGUGUACAAUGUUGCGGCCGCGGGUAAGGUUGCGCGUUCAUCACCGCAUAAGGAGGCAGUGCCAUGGCAUAAGCAGCAUCCGGAAGGGGAUAAUAGUGUGGUAGGACGAUAGGAGGCACAUAUGAUUGGCUGAAUGACCAGCAGUCCCCCCUCGAGCUUGAGACAAUCAUGACUCCCUCUUCACUCCCAUUUAUGUUUAUCAAAACCUUCGAAUCAUUCUAAGAAAACUGUGAUGUGACCUUAAAAGCAACAUGACUCAAGAUUCGACCUGUUUUUACCCCAAUGUUAAUAGCCUCAGCAAAUGGCUUACCCACAGUAGACAUCAUGUUCUGGAAGUAGUCAGCCUCUUGGGCCUAUAGAAAGACAAUGACCAUUUCAAUUUCAUCCAUUAGAGGCUUUACCUUGGCAGCUUGCUCAGGCCAUUUGAUAGAAUAUUCAAGGAAGAUUUCCGCGGUUUUCCUUUUCAAACUGGACAAAGUGUUCCUAUCAGGAACAAUGUACAUAUUAUACUAUUAUUGGCGGAAGGAAUCUCGCACCAUAUCAUCCCACACAUGCCAAUAAGUAAUUUCUUGAUCUGUAUACCACUCAGAAGCAAUUCCGGGAGGCUUUCCCCAAAACAGGCCACCAGCAGCUCCUCUUUUCCACCAACACCCCUCAGCUGGUUGCAGUAUUAUUUCAGAUGAGCGAUCGGGUCUCCAUAUUCGUCGUACUUUCAAAUUUUGGCAUCUUGAAGCCAACUGGCAAGUGAAAACAGGGAAACAUACAGAGGUCAAAGUAUGAGACACUCUUUUGGCCACUCAGACCCUGCAUGUUUUUCAAGCAUUGUUAUAGGCUCUUCAUCUUCUAAGCAAUUUCCUCUUGCUCGUGGAUUUUAAAAAUCUUUUCUUGCUCCACUGAGAGAUCAUAUUGCGGAGGUUGAGUGAAAGAAUACGGGGUCACAUAUGUCAUAUCUUAUUGAAGCUGUGUACCUGAAAAGGUAAACAUUGGAGGUGGUGUUCUUAGAGCCGGUGCUUGGGGGUGGGCCACAGAAGGCAUACCAGAAUCAUUGGAGGGCAUUAGAGGGUGCUCACAUGGGAUGAGAGGAUGGGACACAAGGGAAUUAGUGACCUUACCUGACCUGGGGAUCAACCCAGGGAACCCAGGGAUUGAACUUGGCGGUCCCUACCAUUAGACCAGGUGUCCCACAUUUCUCAUAUGCGGAGACGCAACAUCUUAUCUCUUCAGCAACUGCAAUUCUAGUUGUAAAAUAGUUGAGGUCGGGCUAUACUCAGGACCAAUGACUGGUAUAUUGUUAGCGGAGGCCAUCUGUUCCUUUGGAUCUUGUGAAGGAGGGAAGGCUAGACUACCAACAAAACCAACCACCAAACCUGGCAUUUUGCACACGCACCAACCUUGUUAGUUUUGAGACGCUUAAUAGAUAGGAAAUCACACAUUUGGAUGCAAUGCACCUAAAAAGUUAAACGUUUCUACCAAGUGUUUAAAAACGGUUGCAUAUUUCAUACCGGCCUUAACUAACUUUCUCAGUAUGUACCUCUUUUUUUUAUGUGUGCCUUUAAUCACUCUUGAUUUUUCAUCUUGUCUAUGUCGCUCUUUUAUUUUUGGCAUUCCUUUUUGUCACUCUUUUAAUUUUUGUCGCUCUCCUUUUCACUUUUUUCCCCUCUUUUUCACUCUUUCUUUUUUAAAUUUAUUUUUCCACUCAACUAAUUUUAUGGCUAUGAUCAAAUCCGAUGGAGACUGCCUACGUACAUGGCCCCGCAUGAAUCAUAUCUUGCAUAGCUUAGGAAGAUUAAGAAUGGAGUAAGUAAGCUAACUCUUUUUUUUGUGUACUUUUAUAAAACUCAGACCGUGAAAGCGUUAAGGAAAAAGAAAAAUAUUUUUGAUUUUGUGAUUUUUUUUUUGAAUUUUCUAAAAAAUGCUUUAAAAAAGAAAGGAAUUUUUUUUGACAGAAAGACUUCUAAAAAAUUUUAUUCUUUUGAUUUGAGCUUUGGAAAUUUCAGAGUAAAAGAAGAAUAUUUUUAUUUGAAUGUUCAUUCACUUUCUCUUUAUUCUAAAGAAGAAAGAAAAAUAUUUUUAAAUUUUGGAAAUUGCCUCUUAAUUCUCGAAAGAGAGACUUUUUUAAGAAAAAUGUUUUGAAAUUCUGAGCUUUUUAUUUAUUUACAAAAGAACUUCUAAAGAAAAGAAAAUAUUUUUGGACUUUUCAAAAUUUUUAUGGACAUUUACAAAGCAAAGACUUCGAAAGAAGAAAAAAGUAUUUUUUGGAUUUUUGUUUCUGAUUUUUUCUAGAUUUUUGUUUUAAUAGAAAAUUACUUCAAAAUGAAGGAAACUCGUAUUUUGGAUUUUGAUUUUUAUUUAUUUUCUUUUUUCGAUGGAAAACAUUAGAAAGAAGGAACCCAUUUUUCAUUUGAGCUUAAAAACUACUUUUACUUUUUUUUUUUAAUUUUCUAAGCAAAAUAUUUAAAGAAGGAACUAAAAGAAAAUAUUUUUUUGAAUUUUUUGACAAUUGGGUUCUUAAAAAAAGGUUUUUCUAAAUAAGUAAAUGAAAAUAUCUUUGGAUUUUUUGUUUUUUUAAAUUAGGGAUAAUAAAGAAAGACCAUUUUUUAAUUAAAAGAAGUAAAUAAAAAUAUUUUUGAAUUUUUUGAGAAUUGGGGUCGGAGCCGAUGAGGUUUGCCUACGUAUCUCAUGUCCGGUGAGAAUCCGUCCUGUGUAGUUCGGUCAAUUUUGACAGAACAUAGGAAACAUGGCACUUGAAGAUUUCGAACUCAUUUUGAAAUGACUUUUCUUUUUUCAGAAUUUCGGUAGAGUUAAUUUUCUAAAUAUCUACCUCUCACUUUUUCCUCUUUUUUUUUAAAUUUUCCUUCCCUAUUCUAGAAGCCGGUCAACAUGAAAGCCGAAUCAAACAGAUUAGCAAGUAGGACGCAAGAUGCAUCAGGAUGGUCUUUCUAAUUUAAGUACACUUGGCCUAGACGAACCCAACCCCUGUGUUGAGUCCCCAAAGUCAAAUGCACAUGAUACAAAUAAAUGUUCCUAUUAGGGAUCUGGCAUGAGACUUUGUUACACUAGGUUUAAAACCUGGGUUUACUGUUCUAGACCUGGCUUACCCGAGCAGACAGCUCGAGCCGAGGGGGCCAGCGUACCGGGAAUACAGAAGGUUCACCGGCUUUGCAACUUGUUUGAACCUCGUUCUAAAUUUGGGAUAAGACUCUAACAGAAAAGAAGUCACACGAAGUGCAUACUUCCCAAAUGAUUUAGAAGACUCGUGGAGAAGAGAGUUUCAUAGCAAUUUAUAUAUAGUCCAAACAAUAUCAAAUCGGUAAAAUCGGCAUUUAGCCCAUUAGGCUCAACAUGUAAAAAUCAGAUAAAACAAGCCAAUUAUAACAGUUAUUCUAAUCUCGGAUUCUUAAACUCUGAACCGAAGUUCUGGUUUUGGAUCGCUAGUAGAGUCGCCAGAGCUAUCAUACCUCUUUUUUUUACACACCCACCCGAAGAUAGUGCAAGGGAAUUUUUUCAAUUUAAGUGACAUUGUUCGAAAUGAGAUUAUUUAUUCAAUCCAGAGUUGCCACUUGGGAUAGUUUAUUUGGUGUCCCAAGUCAUUGGUUUAUUUUAAAUCCCAAAUCGAGGAAAUUUCGACUUUUCUUUUGAAGUCUGCGAACUAGAAAUUCAAAAUAAGGAAUUCUGUUAACCCGAGGGAAGGUAUUAGGUACCCCCGGAUUUCGUGAUUCUAACACAGUCUCUUAAACUAUUAUAAUUGGCCUAUAAUCUGAUUUUAAUACAUGUUUUAGCCUAUGGUAUAAUUUUAACUCAUUGACCGCUUUUUAAUUAAUUUUAGGAAGAUUCAACAUUAUCUAAAACAUGUCUUUGAACCACGCCACAUGAAAUGCACCGCAAUCUACGAUACAUUUUAUUUAACGUUAUUGAAUUGGAGUUGGGUCACAUAAAAUGCACACCCGAGUUUAAAGAAAUUAGUUUAAAUUAAGCGCCUAAAGCAACUACGAACUUUCAAGUUAAUAACAAGGUAUGUAGGGCCCAUGAAAAAUUCAACUAAUGGCACGCCUCGAUUCCUAAAUAGUUAAUACUAAUUAAAUGAGGGUCAUGAGCUUAGGGGUUUUAUUUGACAUGGCACGACUCAAAUUAUUUUGCAAGUUUUUACUUAACAAAAACAUACUACAAUAUUCAUGAUUUUCCUAAAAACUAAUUUGGGAUUACUGUAAAAGGCUUAAGAGUUAUGAAUAAUUACUGUGGGAGAGAUAACGUGUUUUACAGCAUGAACAUCAAUGGAUGGAAAAACAUGCUCUUCAUUGUAAUUAACGUUGCCAUGAGGUAAUAAGUCUUAAUGGUUAACAGACCUGCACUUAAUUUCUGAGUAUGUCAUAUAACGUGGAGUUGACAAAAACAAAUAUCAUACUGCAAACAUGUACAUGAAGGUGCACACACUCUUGUCUUUCUUUUACAUAUUUAUAUACCAACAACGUGCGAUUCUCAAAUGAACUUGGGUGUUUAAUAACAAGAAAAUUUGGGUCAUGUGUUAUAAAGACGGGCUUAUAAGUCCAAUAAUGGCCUACUCCUUUUUGUAUCUUAUACAGCCUAAAUGCCUUAAUCAAAUUCACAAGUGUAAUCAAAUGAACCAAUCAAAUUUUAUCUUUUAGUUUAAUAUUCCUUCUACUCUAUUCAGGCAGAUCUCAUUCCCAUACAACAAAAUAGUCUUCUAAAACAAAUUAGGAAUUCUCUUCAACUAUUAAGUUCUCUAGGCAUAAAGGAGGAAAUAUUUAUCAAUAACUUUGAAAAUUUACGAAAUAUGAAGGCCACCAGCAGGUAUCACAAAGAGUAGCAGCACAUCAAAAUUUUCAGUAAUUACACUAGUAAAGCAAAAACAGUCCGAGCCAAAUAUACACAAAAACGAACACACCAUUUUUUCAUGAAGCAAUAGUAUAGAUUCAAAAGUGUGUACCUGAAAUACUCACGUAAUUUAUAUUCAACAAAAUAUAAUAUCCGCUUUGUUCAGACCAAAAGUAAUACCUGGUUAUAGCGGAACCAAGAAAAAUAGAACAUAAAUCUCUGAAAGAAGCAACAGCUAAAAUCAGCUCAUGCGAAGUUCAGCAGCUGACUUGCAGGAAUUAGCUUGGAAGAAAAAAAAGAAGCUAAGUGCCGAAAACUCGAGCUCAGCUGAGCAAACAAAGCACACUUUCAGCAACAUACAAUAAAUCAAACAUCAAUUUGAGUGCGAAUUGACAUUCCAGACUCGAAACGAUCUACAGCUCCAUUAAACUCUAAAGUUUUCCCCUCAAAAUGUAGGGGAAAAAAUGAAUUGAGAUUGACAACUUGGUGAGCUUGAAUUUUAGAUCUGAACUAUUUAAUUUCAGCUAAAUUUGUUUAGAGAGAGAGCAGUAGGGAGGCAGAUCCCUUUGUUGAAGAUUCGAGCAUCCUGAGAGCUAUGAGAAAGAGAUGAGGGAGGCUUGAGACUAGUGAGGUGAGAGAGAAGAUUUUUUAUGGAGGGAGGUUGUCCAUUCUCUGUUAAAGAGAGGCAAGGAGCGCCGCUUGCAAUGGUAGGGGUAUGAUGAUCUGAUCCCCUAACUGGUAUAAGAUCUAUUUUUUGUAAAGAAUUAGGGGUUAGGUUUUAAUGAAGGUAAAGUUAAUGGGCCAAAAUAAUUGGACUGGAGUGUGGGUAAUUAGGUUAUUUGAGAUUUUUGGGCUUGAAAUUAUGGGCUAGGUAGAAAUUUUGGGUAAAAGAACUAGCUCAAUAUCCAAUUAAAUCUUUUCUUCAAAUUCUUUUUCUUAUCUUUUCUUUU